Molecule: ribosomal RNA, 253 nt
Filed under: uncultured bacterium
Lineage: Bacteria
Description: partial 16S ribosomal RNA
Rfam family: Bacterial small subunit ribosomal RNA
Source: RNAcentral
UACGUAGGGGGCAAGCGUUGUCCGGAUUUAUUGGGCGUAAAGAGCGCGUAGGCGGCCAAGCAGGUCCGCUGUGAAAACUCGAGGCUCAACCUCGAGACGUCGGUGGAAACCGUUUGGCUAGAGUCCGGAAGAGGAGAGUGGAAUUCCCGGUGUAGCGGUGAAAUGCGCAGAUAUCGGGAAGAACACCCGUGGCGAAGGCGGCUCUCUGGGACGGUACUGACGCUGAGACGCGAAAGCGUGGGGAGCGAACAGG